AAAAAAAAAGUCUAUCAAUCUUACUCGCCCGGAAGAGACGGCCACGAGUUGCUCUGUCCCUCGAGGCUGGACGUGGGUGCCCCUCACCUCACUUCAGCAACCUCAGGUUGCAGCUGUGCGGCCUGAGCUGAUACCCUGGGCUUCCUUUCGCCGAGGAGAAAAACGCAUUUCCAGAGGGCUAUUCCUCUCGCCUAUUGCACCUCCUAUUUUAGCACGGCAUGAAGUGUCUUAAGGAGAUGACUGUCUCUUCGUCGCCUAGAUGUGAAGUUGGAAUGCUCGAUGGAUGGCAGUAGUGCUGCAGGUCUCCCACCAGCCUUCCCCAGACAGAGAUGUGGUUCUGCUCCUGUAAUGCUGGUCCCAGAUGUGGAUUCAAAGCCAAUUCAGCUGCUCUUCUGUGAGUCAGACGAAAGUACUGGGAGGGCGAUGUCUUUUUUGCAAAUUUUGAAGAUCUGCAAUCUGGAUUAAUUUGGAUCAUCCCCCAUCUCAGAAUGUUGUCCUUCAGGGCUCUUAUUUACCUCAAUCACAAUUUUCAAAGUUUAUCUAGAGUCCUGGAUUAACUACCUGGAUGUUAUCUGAACAGGAAUACUUUUAAUGUCUCAGUAAGUGCCUUCUUAUCUAUUUUAGCUCAUCACUUAAAUGGUGUUGCCUUUGAGCUUAUUGAGAACCAAACCAAAUGUACAAGCCUUUAGAGAUCUAAGAUUACCUGAUAAUUAGGAUUAACUGAAAUUACUUACGUAGCCUGGAAGAGGCAACAAGUAUUGCCAUGUAAACUGAAUCCUGUAAAGAUCAAUAGUACUUUAAAAUAGAUCCUGCUCAAUCACAGUACUUAAUAUGAUAUUGACAACAAACCUAUUUUUUCUCCUCCCAUGUUGACCAGUUUCAUUUUUUAAAAUCCUACGUUGGAAAAAAUCCUUCUAAGAUAAGUCAGUUUCUUCUAAAAAGUAAGUAUAAUUUCUUCUAAAUAAGA
RNAcentral lists this long non-coding RNA (967 nucleotides) under Cyanistes caeruleus (blue tit). RNAcentral's name for it is "lncRNA (ENSCCEG00000009319.1)". The record is from RNAcentral. Lineage: Eukaryota; Metazoa; Chordata; Aves; Passeriformes; Paridae.